GCGGUGCAAGGGCACCGACUGUCCAAGGCACCAGCGGUGCCAAGGACCCUAUUGAAACCCUAGGGUUUAUUAUUAUUAGGGUCCGAGCACCGAGGGUGCGAAGGACAGGCGGUGCCAGGGCACCGACUGUCCAAGGCACCAGCGGUGCCAAGGACCCUAUUGAAACCCUGGGGUUUAUUAUUAGGGUCCGAGCACCGAGGGUGCGAAGGACAGGCGGUGCCAGGGCACCGACUGUCCAAGGCACCAGCGGUGCCAAGGACCCUAUUGAAACCCUAGGGUUUAUUAUUAGGGUCCGAGCACUGAGGGUGCGAAGGACAGGCGGUGCCAGGGCACCGACUGUCCAAGGCACCAGCGGUGCCAAGGACCCUAUUGAAACCCUAGGGUUUAUUAGGGUCCGAGCACCGAGGGUGCGAAGGACAGGCGGUGCCAGGGCACCGACUGUCCAAGGCACCAGCGGUACCAAGGACCCUAUUGAAACCCUAGGGUUUAUUAUUAUUAUUAUUUUUUUUUUUUUUUUUUUUUUUUUUCUCCCGUAAAGUAAAUUGGCUUUUUGGCGGCCUUAUCAUACUCCAAAACGCGUGAAAUUUGGCAUGCACAUCAGGACUGGCGAAAAAUUUGAUAUUUUAUGGGAGUUGCGCAUGUGCGUGGCAAAAUGGCUCUAUAGCGCCACCUGCAAACUUGAAAAAGUAGUCAUUAGGCCAACUGCCACAAUGUUUCAUGUACAGCUACAAUAUUUGGUGGGCAUAUGCAGAACAUCUGGACACACCAAAAAGUCAAUUACAGCCACGCCCUAAACCCAACAGGAAGUCGGCCACCUUCAAUUUGCUGUAAAUUUUUCAAACUUAAUCGCUCCUCGGGAAAUGACUUGCCUUUUUGGCGGCCUUAUCAUGAACCAAAACGCGUGAAAUUUGGCGUGCACAUCAGGACUGGCGAAAAAUUUGAUAUUUUAUGGGAGUUGCGCAUAUGUGUGAAAAAAUGGCUCUAUAGCGCCACCUGCAAAAUUGAAACAGUGGUCAUUAGGCCAACUUCCACAAUGUUUUAUUUACAGCUACAAUAUUUGGUGGGCAUAUGCACCACAUCAGGACACACCAAAAAGUCAAUCACAGCCACACCCUAAACCCAACAGGAAGUCGGCCAUCUUGAAUUUGCUGUACAUUUGUCAAAAUUUAUAGCUCCUAGUGGAUAAGUCUGAGAGAACUGAAAUUUGGCCAGUACAUGCACCAGACCUUUCUGAUGAAAAGUUAUCAAAAACUCAACCAGAAGCCAAAAGGUGUGGCCAUGGCAGAGCCUCAAACAACUGAUCCUUCGCCAUGAAACAGGAAGUGGUGUCUAAUUCUUUUCAACAUGCUCCAAUCUGCCUGAAACUUUACAUGUAUGAUGACAGUCCUGUCCUGAUGUCAUCCACAUAGGGAUAUUCAUUGACAGUCAUAGCGCCACCUUGUGGUUUCAGGAAAUAGACAUAUUUUACACUUUCAUGCCCUAUUGUUACCCGGUUGAUCAUAUUCACUUCAAAUGCAGUGACAACAGCCUAAACACAUUGAUGAUGCAUCCCAGUGAAAAUGGUGACUUGUCAUCAAAGGGCGUGUCUGUGGCGGCCAAACCAAUUUCGAUGAUUCGCCAUGACAAUUUAACGAUUCAUAUCUCAGCUGAACAACAUCCUAUCUGGCACAAACUUCACAUGAUGGACACCAGGUCCAGUCUGAACACAUCCACACUCAUAAAUUCUGAAAAAGUCAUAGCGCCACCUGUUGGUAAUAGUAAGUUUAAGGCCUUAUAUUUUCAGGUACAAUGGCCCCAAACUUGGUGAUAUCAUGCUGGAAAUUGGUCAGUCGAGUCUUCACCUCUUGACAAUCACACACUGUGAAGGGUGUGACAUUUCAUGCAACGCUGUUACCGUAGCAACCAAAUAUCGCCAUGCAAAACAAAGCCCUUUCUGACAGGUUAGGAAUACUCCAAUGCUCACAAAAAUUACCACACACAUCACCAUUGACCCAAGGAACAACACUGUAUGCAUCUCGGCACUGCACAUGCUAUAGCGCCCCCUACAGUAUUUUUAACAAACAGCCCCCCCAGCA
Molecule: long non-coding RNA, 2075 nt
Organism: Acanthochromis polyacanthus (spiny chromis)
Lineage: Eukaryota; Metazoa; Chordata; Actinopteri; Pomacentridae
Exons: 3
Source: RefSeq, a predicted model, not a curated record